UACGUAGGGACCAAGCGUUGUUCGGAUUUACCGGGCGUAAAGGGCGCGUAGGCGGCUUGUCAAGUCACUUGUGAAAUCUCUGGGCUUAACCCAGAACGGCCAAGUGAAACUGACAUGCUAGAGUGCAGAAGGGGCAAUCGGAAUUCUUGGUGUAGCGGUGAAAUGCGUAGAUAUCAAGAGGAACACCUGAGGUGAAGACGGGUUGCUGGGCUGACACUGACGCUGAGACGCGAAAGCCAGGGGAGCAAACGGG
Molecule: ribosomal RNA, 253 nt
Filed under: uncultured bacterium
Lineage: Bacteria
Description: partial 16S ribosomal RNA
Rfam family: Bacterial small subunit ribosomal RNA
Source: RNAcentral